AUGUACUGGAGGAUACCUUUAUUAUGGCCCUUUAACUCUGAGAGGUCACGCUACACCAUCGACGGUGGUACCACCAGAAGGUGCCAGUGGCACACAUCCCUGACCUCCUCUGCUUCUGUGGUGAAGAGACCUGGAGAGUCAGUCACUCUGUCCUGCACCGUGUCUGGACUCUCCCUCAGCUAUUUAAACUGGAUCCGUCAAAAAUCAGGACAAGGACUGGAGUGGAUCGGAUACAUUAACAGUGGCACUGGCACUACAUUCGCUCAGUCUCUGCAGGGCCGGUUCUCCAUCACUAAAGACACCAAUAAAAACAUGGUGUAUAUGGAAGUGAAGAGUCUGAAAACUGAAGACACGGCUGUUUAUUACUGUGCACAAGAGUCACACCGACACAACAGACUCCAGAGCUGUACAAAAACUUACACAAGCACUUCCUCAUGA
Non-coding RNA from Clarias gariepinus (North African catfish), 438 nucleotides. The record is from the annotation of a RefSeq genome assembly. NCBI's taxonomy places the organism in Eukaryota, Metazoa, Chordata, Actinopteri, Siluriformes, Clariidae.